UUUUAAAGUCUUGUGUUGACAAAGGAGAGUUAAAUAGGAAAAACCCGGAAUUCUUCACCAUGUCCACAUAGUUCAGAGGAUAAGAAGACUGACUGGCACUCCUGAGGUUGUGGGUUCAAGCCCAACCUUAUUCAGCUCUAGGUGAAAUUUAAAGUCUAGUGUCUAGAAAAGAGAGUUAAAUAGGAAAAACCCGGAAUUCUUCACCAUGUCCACAUAGCUCAGAGGAUAAGAAGACUGACUGGCACUCCUGAGAUUGUGGGUUCAAGCCCAACCUUAUUCAGCUCUAGGUGAAAUUUAAAGUCUAGUGUCUAGGAAAAGAGAGUUAAAUAGGAAAAACCCGGAAUUCUUCACCAUG
Molecule: non-coding RNA, 355 nt
Organism: Xyrichtys novacula (pearly razorfish)
Lineage: Eukaryota; Metazoa; Chordata; Actinopteri; Labriformes; Labridae
Source: the annotation of a GenBank genome assembly